RNAcentral lists this ribosomal RNA (569 nucleotides) under Fuscidea pusilla. Its description in RNAcentral is "SSU rRNA". It matches the Rfam family "Bacterial small subunit ribosomal RNA", at positions 379 to 997 of the family's 1533-position model. The record is from RNAcentral. Lineage: Eukaryota; Fungi; Ascomycota; Lecanoromycetes; Umbilicariales; Fuscideaceae.
AAAGCUAACUGUAUUAACUACUAGCUUAGUAUAGUAUCGACUAUGUCGACUAAAAUUCUGGGCAGAAUAAUGAUAAUGACAUUAUCUGUUCAUAAGUCUUGACCAAAUCACGUGCCAGCAGUCGCGGCAAGACGUGGAAGACUAGUGUUAUUCAUCUUAAAUAGGUUUAAAGGGUACCUAGACGGUAAAUCUAGCCCCAAAGGGUACGGAUAUACUAGAGUUUGAUGAGAGGGGGGUAGUACUGACGGAGGAGAGAUGAAAUUUUGUGAUACCGAUAUAAGAGACAGGUAUAGGCGAAAGCAACCCUUUAUGUAAAAACUGACGUUGAAGGACGAAGGCCCUGGUUACCAACAGGAUUAGAUACCCCAGCAGUCUGGGCAGACAAUGAUGAAUGUCAUAGAUUAGAUUAUAUUUAAUCUAUAAAUGAAAGUGUAAGCAUUCCACCUCAAGAGUAAUUUGGCAACAUUGAAACUGAAAUCAUUAGACCGUUUCUGAAACCAGUAGUGAAGUAUGUUGUUCAAUCGGAUGUUCCACGUAAAACCUUGCCACAAUUUGAAUAUCUUUAUUUU